AGAUUGAACGCUGGCGGCAUGCCUAACACAUGCAAGUCGAACGGGAGUAGCAAUACUCUAGUGGCGGACGGGUGAGGAAUACGUAGGAAUUUGCCCUUAAGUGGGGGAUAACCCGGGAAACCCGGAUUAAUACCGCAUGACCUCGAAAGAGCAAAGUGGGGGAUCGCAAGACCUCACGCUUUUGGAGAAGCCUACGUCGGAUUAGCUAGUUGGUGAGGUAAUGGCUCACCAAGGCGACGAUCCGUAACUGGUCUGAGAGGAUGAUCAGUCACACCGGAACUGAGACACGGUCCGGACUCCGUACGGGAGGCAGCAGGUGGGAAUAUUGGACAAGUGGGCGCAAGCCUGAUCCAGCAAUGCCGCGGUGUGUGAAGACGGCCUUCGGUUAGUAAGCGAUUUAAGUUAGGUAAACGAAAAACUACGACGUACUAAC
RNAcentral lists this ribosomal RNA (433 nucleotides) under uncultured soil bacterium. RNAcentral describes it as "bacterial SSU rRNA". It matches the Rfam family "Bacterial small subunit ribosomal RNA", at positions 26 to 482 of the family's 1533-position model. The record is from RNAcentral.